Molecule: ribosomal RNA, 328 nt
Filed under: uncultured bacterium
Lineage: Bacteria
Description: bacterial SSU rRNA
Rfam family: Bacterial small subunit ribosomal RNA
Source: RNAcentral
CGUGUAGGCGGUGCGGUAAGUUGGGCGUGAAAUCCCCGAGCUUAACUCGGGUGGGCCGUUCAAGACUGCCGUGCUAGGGUGCGGGAGAGGGAAGUGGAAUUUCCGGUGUAGCGGUGAAAUGCGUAGAUAUCGGGAGGAACACCUGCGGCGAAGGCGGCUUCCUGGACCGUAACCGACGCUGAGGCGCGAAAGCUAGGGGAGCAAACAGGAUUAGAUACCCUAGUAGUCCUAGCCCUAAACGAUGAGCACUGGGUGUGGCCCCUCACGAGGCCGUGCCGAAGCUAACGCAUUAAGUGCUCCGCCUGGGGAGUACGGUCGCAAGGCUGAA